Molecule: ribosomal RNA, 520 nt
Filed under: Staphylococcus aureus
Lineage: Bacteria; Bacillati; Bacillota; Bacilli; Caryophanales; Staphylococcaceae
Description: bacterial SSU rRNA
Rfam family: Bacterial small subunit ribosomal RNA
Source: RNAcentral
UCCCCUUCGGGGGACAAAGUGACAGGUGGUGCAUGGUUGUCGUCAGCUCGUGUCGUGAGAUGUUGGGUUAAGUCCCGCAACGAGCGCAACCCUUAAGCUUAGUUGCCAUCAUUAAGUUGGGCACUCUAAGUUGACUGCCGGUGACAAACCGGAGGAAGGUGGGGAUGACGUCAAAUCAUCAUGCCCCUUAUGAUUUGGGCUACACACGUGCUACAAUGGACAAUACAAAGGGCAGCGAAACCGUGAGGUCAAGCAAAUCCCAUAAAGUUGUUCUCAGUUCGGAUUGUAGUCUGCAACUCGACUACAUGAAGCUGGAAUCGCUAGUAAUCGUAGAUCAGCAUGCUACGGUGAAUACGUUCCCGGGUCUUGUACACACCGCCCGUCACACCACGAGAGUUUGUAACACCCGAAGCCGGUGGAGUAACCUUUUAGGAGCUAGCCGUCGAAGGUGGGACAAAUGAUUGGGGUGAAGUCGUAACAAGGUAGCCGUAUCGGAAGGUGCGGCUGGAUCACCUCCUUU